Molecule: ribosomal RNA, 461 nt
Filed under: uncultured bacterium
Lineage: Bacteria
Description: partial 16S ribosomal RNA
Rfam family: Bacterial small subunit ribosomal RNA
Source: RNAcentral
CCUACGGGGUGGCAGCAGUGAGGAAGAUUGGUCAAUGGAUGAGAGGAUGAACCAGCCAAGGAGAGUGAAGGAUGACUGCCCUAUGGGUUGUAAACUUCUUUUAUAUGGGAAUAAAAUGUUCCACGUGUGGGAUUUUGUAUGUACCAUAUGAAUAAGGAUCGGCUAACUCCGUGCCAGCAGCCGCGGUAAUACGGAGGAUCCGAGCGUUAUCCGGAUUUAUUGGGUUUAAAGGGAGCGUAGGUGGAUUGUUAAGUCAGUUGUGAAAGUUUGCGGCUCAACCGUAAAAUUGCAGUUGAAACUGGCAGUCUUGAGUACAGUAGAGGUGGGCGGAAUUCGUGGUGUAGCGGUGAAAUGCUUAGAUAUCACGAAGAACUCCGAUUGCGAAGGCAGCUCACUGGACUGCAACUGACACUGAGGCUCGAAAGUGUGGGUAUCAAACAGGAUUAGAUACCCUUGUAGUC